UUUCUGGUAAACAAUUAUAUCUACAUAAAUUAGCUUCUGCUCCUGUAUCUAUCAUAGACGUAUAAUAUCUACUGUAAUAUCCUUCUACUACUAUCUUCAUUAAUACAUAUAUUUUCAUAUCAUGUUAAAGCUCUUCUUAAGAAUAAUUUCUCUCUGUUAUAUGUUAUAGAUAAUUGUGUAUGCUCUAUAUUAUAUGGUUUUACUUGUUCUA
Molecule: long non-coding RNA, 211 nt
Filed under: Capsicum annuum
Lineage: Eukaryota; Viridiplantae; Streptophyta; Magnoliopsida; Solanales; Solanaceae
Description: long non-coding RNA (CANN_LNC018889)
Source: RNAcentral